UGACAACUCUAGAGAUAGAGUCUUCCCCUUCGGGGGACAAAGUGACAGGUGGUGCAUGGUUGUCGUCAGCUCGUGUCGUGAGAUGUUGGGUUAAGUCCCGCAACGAGCGCAACCCUUAAGCUUAGUUGCCAGCAUUAAGUUGGGCACUCUAAGUUGACUGCCGGUGACAAACCGGAGGAAGGUGGGGAUGACGUCAAAUCAUCAUGCCCCUUAUGAUUUGGGCUACACACGUGCUACAAUGGACAAUACAAAGGGCAGCUAAACCGCGAGGUCAUGCAAAUCCCAUAAAGUUGUUCUCAGUUCGGAUUGUAGUCUGCAACUCGACUACAUGAAGCUGGAAUCGCUAGUAAUCGUAGAUCAGCAUGCUACGGUGAAUACGUUCCCGGGUCUUGUACACACCGCCCGUCACACCACGAGAGUCUGUAACACCCGAAGCCGGUGGAGUAACCAUUUAUGGAGCUAGCCGUCGAAGGUGGGACAAAUGAUUGGGGUGAAGUCGUAACAAGGUAGCCGUAUCGGAAGGU
RNAcentral lists this ribosomal RNA (524 nucleotides) under uncultured bacterium. RNAcentral describes it as "bacterial SSU rRNA". It matches the Rfam family "Bacterial small subunit ribosomal RNA", at positions 992 to 1513 of the family's 1533-position model. The record is from RNAcentral.